GUGGGGAAUAUUGGACAAUGGGCGAAAGCCUGAUCCAGUCAUGCCGCGUGUGUGAAGAAGGUCUUCGGAUUGUAAAGCACUUUAAGUUGGGAGGAAGGGCAGUAAGUUAAUACCUUGCUGUUUUGACGUUACCGACAGAAUAAGCACCGGCUAACUUCGUGCCAGCAGCCGCGGUAAUACGAAGGGUGCAAGCGUUAAUCGGAAUUACUGGGCGUAAAGCGCGCGUAGGUGGUUUUGUAAGUUGGAGGUGAAAUCCCCGGGCUCAACCUGGGAACUGCCUCCAAAACUGCAUGACUAGAGUACGGUAGAGGGUAGUGGAAUUUCCUGUGUAGCGGUGAAAUGCGUAGAUAUAGGAAGGAACACCAGUGGCGAAGGCGACUACCUGGACUGAUACUGACACUGAGGUGCGAAAGCGUGGGGAGCAAACAGGAUUAGAUACCCCAGUAGUCC
Molecule: ribosomal RNA, 450 nt
Filed under: uncultured bacterium
Lineage: Bacteria
Description: bacterial SSU rRNA
Rfam family: Bacterial small subunit ribosomal RNA
Source: RNAcentral